UGGUCUUGACAUCCCVAGGAAUCCUGCAGAGAUGCGGGAGUGCCUUCGGGAACCUGGAGACAGGUGCUGCAUGGCUGUCGUCAGCUCGUGUCGAAAAAAGUGGRGUUAAGHCCCGCAACGAGCGCAACCCUUGCCCUUAGUYGCCAUCAUUAWGUUGGGAACUCUAAGGGGAMCGCCGGUGACAAACCGGAGGAAGGUGGGGAUGACGUCAAGUCAUCAUGGCCCCUUAUGACCCAGGGCUACACACGUGCUUACAAUGGCUCGGUACAGAGGGUCGCCAACCCGCGAGGGGGAGCCAAUCCCUUAAAACCCGAUCGUAGUCCGGAUCGCAGUCUGCAACUCGAUGCGUGAAGUCGGAUCG
RNAcentral lists this ribosomal RNA (361 nucleotides) under uncultured bacterium GFD1. RNAcentral's name for it is "bacterial SSU rRNA". It matches the Rfam family "Bacterial small subunit ribosomal RNA", at positions 976 to 1330 of the family's 1533-position model. The record is from RNAcentral.